Non-coding RNA from Bombyx mori (domestic silkworm), 76 nucleotides. Lineage: Eukaryota; Metazoa; Arthropoda; Insecta; Lepidoptera; Bombycidae. The record is from RefSeq and is marked provisional.
AGUUUAGAAGACUUGGUAGAACACGUAGUAAGCAGGUGGAAUCUCCCUGCGUGUUCUACCAAGUUAUCUAGGUUGG